GCUCUGGUGGUGUAGCGGCCUAGCAUACAAUACUAAUGUGCAAAGCCCUGUCACGGCUGCGACGCGGGUUCAAAUCCCGCCCAGGGCG
This 88-nucleotide transfer RNA is filed under the name Candidatus Aenigmatarchaeota archaeon. Its description in RNAcentral is "tRNA-Asp". It matches the Rfam family "tRNA". Rfam says of the family: Transfer RNA (tRNA) molecules are approximately 80 nucleotides in length. Their secondary structure includes four short double-helical elements and three loops (D, anti-codon, and T loops). The record is from RNAcentral. Lineage: Archaea; Nanobdellati; Candidatus Aenigmatarchaeota.